UUGGGACAGCUUAGUCGGCAGAGCAUGAGACUCUUAAUUUCAGGAUUGUGGGUUUGAGUCCCACAUGGGGCAAAA
Podarcis lilfordi (Lilford's wall lizard) is the source of this 75-nucleotide non-coding RNA. The record is from the annotation of a GenBank genome assembly. Lineage: Eukaryota; Metazoa; Chordata; Lepidosauria; Squamata; Lacertidae.